Molecule: ribosomal RNA, 879 nt
Filed under: uncultured bacterium
Lineage: Bacteria
Description: bacterial SSU rRNA
Rfam family: Bacterial small subunit ribosomal RNA
Source: RNAcentral
AGAGUUUGAUCCUGGCUCAGGAUGAACGCUGGCGGCGUGCCUAACACAUGCAAGUCGAGCGAUUCUCUUCGGAGAAGAGCGGCGGACGGGUGAGUAACGCGUGGGUAACCUGCCCUGUACACACGGAUAACAUACCGAAAGGUAUGCUAAUACGGGAUAACAUAUUUUGAUGGCAUCAUCGAAAUAUCAAAGCUCCAGCGGUACAGGAUGGACCCGCGUCUGAUUAGCUAGUUGGUGAGGUAAUGGCUCACCAAGGCGACGAUCAGUAGCCGACCUGAGAGGGUGAUCGGCCACAUUGGAACUGAGACACGGUCCAAACUCCUACGGGAGGCAGCAGUGGGGAAUAUUGCACAAUGGGCGAAAGCCUGAUGCAGCAACGCCGCGUGAGCGAUGAAGGCCUUCGGGUCGUAAAGCUCUGUCCUCAAGGAAGAUAAUGACGGUACUUGAGGAGGAAGCCCCGGCUAACUACGUGCCAGCAGCCGCGGUAAUACGUAGGGGGCUAGCGUUAUCCGGAAUUACUGGGCGUAAAGGGUGCGUAGGUGGUUUUUUAAGUCAGAAGUGAAAGGCUACGGCUCAACCGUAGUAAGCUUUUGAAACUGAGAAACUUGAGUGCAGGAGAGGAGAGUAGAAUUCCUAGUGUAGCGGUGAAAUGCGUAGAUAUUAGGAGGAAUACCAGUUGCGAAGGCGGCUCUCUGGACUGUAACUGACACUGAGGCACGAAAGCGUGGGGAGCAAACAGGAUUAGAUACCCUGGUAGUCCACGCCGUAAACGAUGAGUACUAGGUGUCGGGGGUUACCCCCCUCGGUGCCGCAGCUAACGCAUUAAGUACUCCGCCUGGGAAGUACGCUCGCAAGAGUGAAACUCAAAGGAAUUGACGG